This is a long non-coding RNA of Neofelis nebulosa (Clouded leopard), 1163 nucleotides long. RefSeq lists it as uncharacterized. Lineage: Eukaryota; Metazoa; Chordata; Mammalia; Carnivora; Felidae. The transcript is spliced from 4 exons. The record is from RefSeq and is a predicted model, not a curated record.
GGGCGUCGGAGAUCGGAUACGUGCGACCCAGGUGUCGUGGGCUCCUGCCGCGAGGUGGUCCCGUGCGCGCAGUCCCGUGGUCCCGGUGCACCUGCCCAGGCUCCACCUGCCUCGACCUUUGGUGGGAGCACCUCCCUGCCCCCAAGGCUCCCGCGCCACAUCCUGCCCAAAGGUGGGAGCCAGGGGCCACUCUAGCCGGACUGGUGAAGCUCCUCCUCCAAGCGCUCAUGGAACAGUCAGGAAACUGAGGCCAGGAGAGGCAGGGACUGGCCGGGGACCCACCAGACGGGGGGUCAGGUCUCACCCCCGAAGGCUGUGGUCAUGUGCCCGGAGGGACGCAAAGGUGACACCGGGAGGCCCAGGACUGGCUGGUCUAGCCUGACACUAGCCUGAUCCGACUUAAAUCAACCGAUGAAAUCGGGAAACGUCUGGCCGAAUCCCGAUUCACCUGCCCUACAGAGUUGUGCGUGUGCCCCGUCGCCCAGGAGAGCCACCCUGGACCCGGGGAGAGAGUGGCUGCACAGAGGUUUUGGGAAGCAGGGCCUGGACUUGGCCUGGGAAGGCCUCCUUCAGCGCCCCGGCGCCGCUGUAAGGUCCUCGUUCACUGGUCCUGGGACCGGUACUUGGAGUCCCCGGAGUCAGAGCCCGAGGAGUCCGCCGCAGGAGCAAAAGCCGGGUGGGCUCCAGAGCCCGGCCCAACGGUAUCGGGGGUCUCGGCGUAUCUGCAGGCAGGCGUGGUAUCUGGAGCGACUCCUGCAGGGACCCGGUUGCCAGCAGGCGACCUGGGACCUGUGCGGGGACAGCGGGCACCUGAGCAGAGUCAGCUGGGUCCUGCUUCUGCUGGUUCCACUGUUCCUGCUUCUGCUCCCAACACUGUUCCUGCCAUCGCCCUUCUCCCCGCCCCUGCCACUGCCCUUGCUCCCACAUGGAUGUCGGCCAAAAAUCAAGGGACUGAAGACCUAUACAGGGUGCCUUUGUUAUUUUCUUUUAUUUUUUGUUUAUGAUACUUUAUUUCAAAUUUAUUCUCCAAUCCCUGAGCCCGACCUCCCACCAAAAUGUCUCUUCCUCUUCUCCCUUAUCCUUUUUCUCUUCUACUUUUAGCUGUUAUUUUAUUUAUUCAUUAGUUAUAAUCUAUAUUAAUCUUCAAUAAAAUGUUUUAUUUA